RNAcentral lists this long non-coding RNA (686 nucleotides) under Volvox carteri. RNAcentral's name for it is "long non-coding RNA (VCAR_LNC001604)". Lineage: Eukaryota; Viridiplantae; Chlorophyta; Chlorophyceae; Chlamydomonadales; Volvocaceae. The record is from RNAcentral.
GGUAAGCUCUACGCUCUGUUUGGGCUUGUUUGGCUGCAUCUCUUAGGCAGGUGCUUAAGCAUGAUAGAGAAAGGCGCACCACAACAGGACCGGAUAGACAGGACACGGAGGUCGUGAAGAGAAGAGGGGCAGGGGGCGCGCACAGCAUUGGUCCCAAGAUUGGGCUGAGGGAUCGUCGCAAGAUUGCGGUGGUGCUGCUGGCACCGAACGUAACGUCUUGAUGACGGCUUGCAAGCAGGCCGGGGGCCCCUAGGGGGAAAGGGACAGACAGCGGCGGCCGGGUGCUUCUAGGGCUUCGAUGGGGGCUACCGGUGUGCCAUUGCCUACCACUGCCUUCGGAAUGCCCCGAUGCAUGGAAUGCAAUGCCUUGCCUCACCAAGCGAGAAUUCACUUUACUUGGGCGAACCAAAGAUGAGAGGUAUAAGUAAUCUACGGUUUGAAGGAUACAGCUCCGGAGAAGCUACUCCACGCUCUUCAGGCCGACCUCACAUAGGGGUCUGCAUAGCACACGCCGAGGUAGAUUUCAACUACAAAGUUUGAGAGCGCCAUUUGAAGCUUUAUGAGGCAUGUUCAAGGCCUGCUAUUGUCAUCCGCAUACCGAAGGCCGAACAUCAUGCACAAAUCCGUAAGGUCCGUAAUCCCUUAUCCUACCUAUCUGUAAUCCCUUAUCCUAUUUAUAUGCCUGG